UACGAGGGGUGCAAGCGUUAAUCGGAAUUACUGGGCGUAAAGCGUUCGUAGGCGGUCUAUUAAGCAAGAUGUGAAAGCCCAGGGCUCAACCUUGGAACUGCAUUUUGAACUGGUAGACUAGAGUACUGUAGAGGGUGGUGGGAUUUCCAGUGUAGCGGUGAAAUGCGUAGAGAUUGGAAGGAACAUCAGUGGCGAAGGCGGCCACCUGGACAGAUACUGACGCUGAGGAACGAAAGCGUGGGGAGCGAACAGG
Molecule: unclassified non-coding RNA, 253 nt
Filed under: uncultured Colwelliaceae bacterium
Lineage: Bacteria; Pseudomonadati; Pseudomonadota; Gammaproteobacteria; Alteromonadales; Colwelliaceae
Description: contains 16S-23S intergenic spacer region
Rfam family: Bacterial small subunit ribosomal RNA
Source: RNAcentral